Molecule: RNA transcript, 785 nt
Organism: Neltuma alba
Lineage: Eukaryota; Viridiplantae; Streptophyta; Magnoliopsida; Fabales; Fabaceae
Exons: 2
Source: RefSeq, a predicted model, not a curated record
UCUCAGAGUCUCUCAGUGAGUCACCGGACCUUCUGGAGAUUCCUCUCUCCGUCCCUCUGCCUCUCUUUGUCUCGCUCUGCUUAUCUCCGCCGCGAAAGAAGGAAUUCGAAUGGCUUUUGCGAUCGGUCUCCCUCAUAACCUGCUUCUGCCCAGUGCCUCCCGUGGCAAAUUGCAGGUGAAAUCGUGCUCUCAGAUUCAGAUUCAGACCAAGAAACGGUGCUUGCGAUGCAAUACGCUUUACUCUGAUCAAGAAAAUUCCCCAACUGCUUGUUCUUUCCAUGGCCACGCCAACGUAGGUUCAACUGGACUAGGGGCCUAAAACUGCCGCUGACCACUUGAAUUGGGCUUGAGGUUGGGCCAAGGCCCAGGAAAGACAGCCCAUGGAGAAAGCUAACGGCGUGGGUGGGUGGUUGGACUUGCAGGGGAGAAGGGGUUGUUCUCGUUGGCGCCACCACACCAAGGGAUAGAUGGGGAGUGGACGGACGAAUCAGGAGUGAUUGUGUACAAAUGGAAUGACAAAGGCAACAGACCCAACACAGGUCGCCCCAACUGGAAGAGACGGUGGAGCUGUUGUGCCGAGUAUGAUGAGAAUACCCCUCCUUGCCGACGAGCCUCCCAUGUCUCCUAUGAUGAUGGUUUCACUUUGUACUAACCAUAUUCCCCCCCCCCCCCCCAAAAAAAAAAAGUUCCCCUUGUAUAUAAUGCUUUCGAUGUAUAUUUAGAGGAAAACAUCACUUCAAAGAGCAUAUUUAUCUUUAAGUAUUCUACCUCUCAUCCUUCAUAUA